GAGUUUGAUCCUGGCUCAGAACUAACGCUGGUGGCUGUGUCUUAGUCAUGCAAGUCGAACGGGAAAGCACCUUCGGGUGUGAGUAAAGUGGCGAACGGGUGAGUAACACGUGGGUAACCUGCCUUUGAGUGGGGAACAACCCCUCUAACGAGGGGCUAAUACCGCAUAAUGCAGCGGCUCCGCAUGGAGACAGUUGUUAAAGGGGCAGCUUCGGUUGUCUCGCUUGAAGAUGGACCCGCGGUCCAUUAGCUUGUUGGUGAGGUAACGGCUCACCAAGGCAACGAUGGAUAGCCGGCCUGAGAGGGUGUACGGCCACACUGGAACUGAGAAAGGUCCAGUCCCCUACGGGGGCCAGCAGUCUAGAAAUUUGCGCAAUGGGCGAAAGCCUGACGCAGCGACGCCACGUGGAGGAUGAAGCCCUUAGGGGUGUAAACUCCUGUCAGAAGGGAAGAAUGCAGGAAAUAACUUUUCCUGUUUGACUGUACCUUCAGAGGAAGCCCCGGCUAACUUCGUGCCAGCAGCCGCGGUAUAC
This 532-nucleotide ribosomal RNA is filed under the name uncultured sponge symbiont PAWS53. RNAcentral's name for it is "bacterial SSU rRNA". It matches the Rfam family "Bacterial small subunit ribosomal RNA", at positions 9 to 526 of the family's 1533-position model. The record is from RNAcentral.